UAGCAACACGAUAAAUACACGAGCAGAUGAUAUUUAACGAUCAAUUGGCCAGAACAAACGUCGUUUACCUUUUUACCUACUGGGGAAGGUUUGAUAAGAUAAGGUAUUUUCAAGGAUGUCUAUCCCGUGGGAGUUUAUCACCGACAUAAAAGAAAGAGAACGAAAGGAAACUACUUUUUAAUGGAAAUGAGCUUGCAAUAUAUUCUGGAGUGUCUUUGUCACAGUAGACGUUCGUAAAACAACACCGAAGUGUUGAUAGUGAACUGAAGGUGCGCUGAACUGAUGAAGUGUUAUUUAGGGUAGUCGUUUUUCUGGCAGGCAAAAUGUGGAAGUAUUUCGGUAUACUGUUACUAACCACUUCGAUGGGAGCUAAAAUUGCCGAAAAAGAAAAAAAUUACAAAGACGCUUACGCAGAGCUUUCGCUAAAAAUAAUAGAAGACGAAUUGAACUCAUCAUUUUCACUUAUUUCGAGGGCGAUGAUCGACGGUCCGAUCUUGUGUCCUGAAGGAUCGGUAUUGGAUCACAAAGGAGUCUGCCGUCGUCAAUUGGGCUGAAGUGCGCUUUUGGAUGCCUUCCAUCCAUCACCCGUUAUACCACGGAAAUUUGACUGGGAUGCGAUGUUUGGAGUUGAAAGAGAAGCAAGUUUUUUUAAAGUGCGAACAUUGUGAAAUUUUUGAUAAAAUGAUUUCUGUCAUCCGGAUCCGUGACCCCUAAUAAAACCCUUAUGAAUUA
Anopheles cruzii is the source of this 732-nucleotide long non-coding RNA. RefSeq lists it as uncharacterized. The record is from RefSeq and is a predicted model, not a curated record. The transcript has 2 exons. Lineage: Eukaryota; Metazoa; Arthropoda; Insecta; Diptera; Culicidae.